GCUAGGAUGAACGCUAGCGACAGGCCUAACACAUGCAAGUCAGGGGCAGCACAGGGAGCAAUCUGAGGUGGCGACCGGCGCACGGGUGAGUAACACGUAUGCAACCUGCCUGUAAGCGGGGAAUAACCCGUUGAAAGACGGACUAAUACCGCAUAAUACUAAAUUACUGCAUGGUAAUUUAUUUAAACAUUUAUGGCUUACAGAUGGGCAUGCGCAUGAUUAGCUAGUUGGAGAGGUAACGGCUCCCCAAGGCAACGAUCAUUAGGGGUUCUGAGAGGAAGGUCCCCCACACUGGUACUGAGACACGGACCAGACUCCUACGGGAGGCAGCAGUGAGGAAUAUUGGUCAAUGGACGAGAGUCUGAACCAGCCAAGUCGCGUGCAGGAAGAAUGUUCCCUAUGGAUUGUAAACUGCUUUUGCAGGGGAAUAAAGUGCAUCACGUGUGAUGUUUUGUAUGUACUCUGCGAAUAAGGAUCGGCUAACUCCGUGCCAGCAGCCGC
This 501-nucleotide ribosomal RNA is filed under the name uncultured bacterium. RNAcentral describes it as "bacterial SSU rRNA". It matches the Rfam family "Bacterial small subunit ribosomal RNA", at positions 26 to 518 of the family's 1533-position model. The record is from RNAcentral.